Molecule: ribosomal RNA, 1616 nt
Filed under: Salmonella enterica
Lineage: Bacteria; Pseudomonadati; Pseudomonadota; Gammaproteobacteria; Enterobacterales; Enterobacteriaceae
Also listed under: 1 other name
Description: partial 23S ribosomal RNA
Rfam family: Bacterial large subunit ribosomal RNA
Source: RNAcentral
GUUGGGUAGGGGAGCGUUCUGUAAGCCUGCGAAGGUGGCCUGUGAGGGUUGCUGGAGGUAUCAGAAGUGCGAAUGCUGACAUAAGUAACGAUAAAGCGGGUGAAAAGCCCGCUCGCCGGAAGACCAAGGGUUCCUGUCCAACGUUAAUCGGGGCAGGGUGAGUCGACCCCUAAGGCGAGGCCGAAAGGCGUAGUCGAUGGGAAACGGGUUAAUAUUCCCGUACUUGGUGUUACUGCGAAGGGGGGACGGAGAAGGCUAUGUUGGCCGGGCGACGGUUGUCCCGGUUUAAGCGUGUAGGCUGACUUUCCAGGCAAAUCCGGAGAGUCAAGGCUGAGGCGUGACGACGAGGCACCACGGUGCUGAAGCAACAAAUGCCCUGCUUCCAGGAAAAGCCUCUAAGCAUCAGGUAACAUCAAAUCGUACCCCAAACCGACACAGGUGGUCAGGUAGAGAAUACCAAGGCGCUUGAGAGAACUCGGGUGAAGGAACUAGGCAAAAUGGUGCCGUAACUUCGGGAGAAGGCACGCUGACACGUAGGUGAAGUGAUUUACUCAUGGAGCUGAAGUCAGUCGAAGAUACCAGCUGGCUGCAACUGUUUAUUAAAAACACAGCACUGUGCAAACACGAAAGUGGACGUAUACGGUGUGACGCCUGCCCGGUGCCGGAAGGUUAAUUGAUGGGGUCAGCGCAAGCGAAGCUCCUGAUCGAAGCCCCGGUAAACGGCGGCCGUAACUAUAACGGUCCUAAGGUAGCGAAAUUCCUUGUCGGGUAAGUUCCGACCUGCACGAAUGGCGUAAUGAUGGCCAGGCUGUCUCCACCCGAGACUCAGUGAAAUUGAACUCGCUGUGAAGAUGCAGUGUACCCGCGGCAAGACGGAAAGACCCCGUGAACCUUUACUAUAGCUUGACACUGAACAUUGAGCCUUGAUGUGUAGGAUAGGUGGGAGGCUUUGAAGCGUGGACGCCAGUCUGCGUGGAGCCGGCCUUGAAAUACCACCCUUUAAUGUUUGAUGUUCUAACGUGGACCCGUGAUCCGGGUUGCGGACAGUGUCUGGUGGGUAGUUUGACUGGGGCGGUCUCCUCCUAAAGAGUAACGGAGGAGCACGAAGGUUGGCUAAUCCUGGUCGGACAUCAGGAGGUUAGUGCAAUGGCAUAAGCCAGCUUGACUGCGAGCGUGACGGCGCGAGCAGGUGCGAAAGCAGGUCAUAGUGAUCCGGUGGUUCUGAAUGGAAGGGCCAUCGCUCAACGGAUAAAAGGUACUCCGGGGAUAACAGGCUGAUACCGCCCAAGAGUUCAUAUCGACGGCGGUGUUUGGCACCUCGAUGUCGGCUCAUCACAUCCUGGGGCUGAAGUAGGUCCCAAGGGUAUGGCUGUUCGCCAUUUAAAGUGGUACGCGAGCUGGGUUUAGAACGUCGUGAGACAGUUCGGUCCCUAUCUGCCGUGGGCGCUGGAGAACUGAGGGGGGCUGCUCCUAGUACGAGAGGACCGGAGUGGACGCAUCACUGGUGUUCGGGUUGUCAUGCCAAUGGCACUGCCCGGUAGCUAAAUGCGGAAGAGAUAAGUGCUGAAAGCAUCUAAGCACGAAACUUGCCCCGAGAUGAGUUCUCCCUGAGACUU